AAUUUGGUCUUCUCGGAAGGC
This 21-nucleotide microRNA is filed under the name Picea abies (Norway spruce). RNAcentral describes it as "pab-miR11415". Lineage: Eukaryota; Viridiplantae; Streptophyta; Pinopsida; Pinales; Pinaceae. The record is from miRBase by way of RNAcentral.